Ostrea edulis (European flat oyster) is the source of this 969-nucleotide long non-coding RNA. RefSeq lists it as uncharacterized. NCBI's taxonomy places the organism in Eukaryota, Metazoa, Mollusca, Bivalvia, Ostreida, Ostreidae. The record is from RefSeq and is a predicted model, not a curated record. The transcript is spliced from 2 exons.
UUCCGUUCCGUUCCGUCCGUCUCCCGUUCCGUGUUUUAGCAACACCCAUGUUAGAAAGUUUUUUAUGCAAAUAUUAACUUUUUAUACCCCUCUUCAAAGAAGAGGGGAAUAUUGCUUUGCACCAGUUGGUCGGUCGGUCGGUAGACUAGAUGUUGUCUGCUCAAUAUCUUGAGAACCUUUGACUUCAUGGUAAUGAUAUCUUAUAUGUGGGUUGGUUAUAGGUAGAAAAGAACCCUUAUUGAUUUUCAGGUCAAAGGUCAGGGUCAAUCUACUCUGGACAUAGGAAGACGCUGUCCGUUCAAUAUUUUGAGAACCCUUUUCUUGACAGAUAUCAAACUUGGUACACUGGUACAUCCUAAGGAAUACACCGAUUCACUGCAGUUCGUGACCUUAUAUUUUGACCAAUGAAAUGCGCUGAAAAAAUAAGCCCCGCCCACCAACUCGAGCCUCGGACAAACAUCGGACAUCCGCCAUUGUGUUGUAUAGUAAACACAGAAAGUUAUCGACCGAUCAUGUGUUAAUAAUACACUGUGUAUGCAUCUUUUUGUAUGAGGAAUGAUUAAACAUUUUUCUCUGGAAUCUUUAAAUCACACAGUAGGUAUCCAGACUAACAUAAUGGAGCCAAAUUCACACCAUUUCCAUCAACGAAAGACAGACUUGCAGAAGUGUACAUGCUGUUUAUUGCCUUAUAUCACAGGCCUCAAAGUCAGCUAAAUGUCCACAAAAUAACGAAAUACGUAUCUAUGAACUCGCAAUAUGAUGAGCCAAUAGCUGGAUACCAAGUCCCGUGUGAUGUUAAAUGUAAAUAGGAGGAAAUGCACCUGUCAGGAUACAUAUGGAGAUUGGAUAGAACAAUAAACCAAUUCAAGUGCUUUAAACUUUUCAGUAGAAAAAUUACAGACACUACAUAGUUUAAAAAUGUUGACUCAUAAUCUUAAAUAUUAAUGUAUAUUUUAUCAGAAAUUUAGA